This 21-nucleotide non-coding RNA is filed under the name Arabidopsis thaliana (thale cress). Lineage: Eukaryota; Viridiplantae; Streptophyta; Magnoliopsida; Brassicales; Brassicaceae. The record is from RNAcentral.
AACAAGUGUGACUGACAUGCC